Lolium rigidum is the source of this 2489-nucleotide long non-coding RNA. RefSeq lists it as uncharacterized. NCBI's taxonomy places the organism in Eukaryota, Viridiplantae, Streptophyta, Magnoliopsida, Poales, Poaceae. The record is from RefSeq and is a predicted model, not a curated record. The transcript is spliced from 3 exons.
UCUCCUCCUAUGGCCUGCGCCCUCCUUCCCUCUCUGGCCACCGCACGACAAGGCGGACGAACUCGGGGCUCUCCUCCCCAUCUGAGGCGGCUAGCGACGCAGCCGCUUGAACGACGUCCUGGGCGUCCCGAAGAACCAGGAUUUUUUUUUAGCGCAAUCGAUUCUGUUUCCAUAGUUUCAUUGGUUUUUUAAGUUCAUUCCGAUUACUUUUUUUCAGAUCUUCCUAUGUGAGUGUGGUGUUACCGACCUCCGGACAUCUUCUGCGUCGCUCCCCAGAUCUUUCCAUCGAUGAUUUCGCGGAGCUGCCAGAGGCCAUUAGGACAGCCAUCGUCGCCGGCGCUAUCUUCAGAGCGGAUGAACUCUCUCUAGAGCCGAGGGGUGGCAGUUGAGAGAAGAUGGAGCCGUGGGGGCUAGGAAGGUGGAAGUCUGGGAGAAGAUUGCGUCGAAUCCGCUGGGCCGCCGGAGGAGUUGAGGAGGGAGGACGGGAGGUGGAAGUGCGGAUAGGGAAUUUGGGGAGAAGAAGCCACGGAGGCGGACUGCAUCGAGGCGGGCUGUGUGCCGCUGCUCGAUGCCUAGAAAUCAAUUCGGCUGCGUUCAGGUAUUCCUCUAGCUACCUUUCCUUUCCUAUAACCACAAAUCAUGCAAUCGCUGCCUACCAUUGCUCCAAUACUUGAUGAAUUGGCUCGGCGGGUGGCCCUCCAGCCUUCCUCCUCAAGCUCAUGUCCCUCUCUGGUGGAAUCAGGGUCUCGGGGACGGCACAACUUGCAUACAGAUACAGUCCAACACAGUCGUCCACCCCUUAGGGAUCUACUCCACUGAAAUAACUUUAGUAAAUGAAGUGCUUCUACUGGCUGAGAACUUCUCUAUGUUUGUAACUACAGAGUGAGCGAAUCAAAUGGAUCAAAAUAUUAUGUUUCCAGAUCUCCGGUUUGGUUCAUGUAGUCAUUGAUGCUAGGCCUCCUCCCAGGGCAGCUAAAUAGGAAAAACGACUCAUUUACAUGACUUACGUGAGAAAAACAACCAUCGUUACUCCUCAUGGUGUGUGCGCCAGUGUGCUUGAUGUUGUUGGCCUACAGUCGAUCUAUUGAAUUACUUCAAAAUAACCUUAGUAUUCAUUUGACAAUCUUAAAAUUGCAUUGCCGUUGUUAAUUAGCUUUCAACAGAAAGAUCAUCGACCUAUAACUUAGACUCACUCUCUCAUCUAUGCAUGUAAAUUGUGUGUUCUUUUUUUUUUAAUCUGCCUACAACUGCACUCGCCAUGUGAUGUCAGGUCCUUUUCCCUGUCUGAUGCAAUUGAAUUGUGCAUCUUCUGAGUAGUCUUACUAGACUGCUUGCCACGCAUGAUAGAUGACGAGUAGGAGAUAUGUUUGAUAUGUCCAUUGAUUCCUGCAAUCAGGAUCAAAUCAAAUCUUCAUAGCAUGCAGGCGAAUAAAUAUCUUGAAUGCAUGGCCCUCUGUUUUGUUUUCGCAUAUAUGUAUCAGCGUGUAUUUGAGUGCCCAAUUGUAUGCAUCAGGGAACAUCAAGGAAAGUUGUUCCUUGCUUACCGAACUGCCAUGUUUUCCCUUUGAGGUAGCCAUAUUUUCAGGAAAUAAAUUAGCAAUCUGUAAGGAUAAAUCUUAAAAUCAUGUGAAAACAUAAGCCAUCUAUAUGGUUAGUUCAUAAUGUUAUCUCGGUUUAUGGUGAAUAAAUAUUAAGUAUGUAUUUCAGUAUUUGAUGUCGCGGCUUUAAGCAAUUUAAUUUGGGUCAGGGAAAGGCUAUCUGCUAGCAGCAAUAUUCCAGGCUUCUAUGUCAUAGUUGCAGUAGCUUAGUUGAUGUACAUUUUCGAAUGUAAUAGACUAAUGCUGAGUCAAUACAUCUGUAAGAAUAAAAUACAUAUGAAAAACAGGCGAUGGUUGACCAUUGUACAUGUUUGUCAUAUAUAGUCAUACCUUCUCUUGAAUUACUGGCAUUUUCUUUUUGUUAGUCAAAUGAUGAGAUUUUUUUUUUGCCUUGCUCCAUUAAUUCUUUGAAUGAGAACCCUUGCAUGGUGAAAACGUCUGUCGGCUGUGGGAACGAAUCUUAGUCUUUUGUGCCCAUACUGCAAAGGUGUAGUCUACUACUCAUAUCUUGAUGAUUUUGCUCACUUCUUGGAAAAUCUUCUGUGCUACGCUUUUUAAUUAGUGUCAUUUCGGCUUCAGAUGCUAUGUUGAUACUUCUGAAUUCUGCAGGCAAAAUGGCUUCCAUUCAAGCUAGCUUUUCGAAGAAGCUUCUCAGAAGGUCUUUGGAUGGGGGAGGUUAACUUCAUCAUUCUUUCCCUUCAGUAGUUUUCACAAGCAGGACAAUUUUCGAUAAAAGUGAACAGGCUGAUUUCUUGACAAACAGAUGAAGCCCAGGCUACUAACGACGUGUUGUAAUACUAGAUACCUCUUAAGCAGCUAUGUGUAAUUAUCUCAGUUGUACUGUCCUACUACUGUAGUGCCCCGGCUGGUGAAAUGAACCACCAAAUUGAA